CGAGAGUGCAUCAGCAUCCACGUGGGUCAGGCAGGCGUCCAGAUGGGCAACGCCUGCUGGGAACUCUACUGCCUCGAGCAUGGCAUUCACCCCGACGGCAUGAUGCCCGAGACCGAAGUCGAGGACGACUCCUACAACACCUUCUUCAGCGAGACCAAACUGGGAAAACACGUCCCCAGGGCUGUGUUCGUCGAUCUGGAGCCCACGGUGGUUGACGAAGUGAGAACGGGAACUUACAGGGAACUUUUCUCUCCCCGUACACUUAUUACGGGAAAGGAAGACGCGGCCAAUAACUACGCCAGAGGACACUACACUGUCGGCAAGGAACAGCUGGAGGUCGUCCUCGACUGCAUCAGGAAACUCCAGGAACAGUGCGUAGGAUUCCAAGGAUUCCUGGUCUUCCACUCCUUCGGUGGCGGAACAGGCUCGGGCUUCGCGUCCCUCCUGCUGGAGCAGCUCUCCGUCGAGCAUGGCAAGAAGUCCAAACUGUGCUUCUCCAUCUACCCCGCUCCACAGGUAUCCACAGCUGUUGUCGAACCAUACAACUCCAUCCUCUUCACCCACACGACCUUAGAGCACUGUGAAGUUGGUUUCAUGGUAGACAACGAGGCUAUCUACGACCUGUGCCGAAAGGAACUUAACAUCACCAGACCAACUUACACCAAUCUGAACCGCUUAAUUGGCCAAGUUGUGUCCAGCAUCACAGCAUCCCUGAGGUUUGACGGCGCCCUGAACGUCGACUUGACCGAAUUCCAGACUAACUUGGUGCCGUAUCCCAGGAUUCAUUUCCCGCUGGCAACGUACGCCCCUGUGGUCUCUGCUGAUAAGGCUCAGCACGAUGAUUUCAACGUGAAGGUCAUUACGGCUAAAUGUUUUGAGCCUUCGCACCAGAUGGUAAAAUGCGACCCUCAGCUGGGCAAGUACAUGGCCUGCUGCCUGCUGUUCCGCGGUGACGUCGUACCGAAGGAUGUGAACCAAGCCAUCAGCGAAAUGAGGAACAAGAGAACCAUUUCCUUCGUCGACUGGUGUCCUACGGGAUUCAAGGUCGGCAUCAACUACCAGCCUCCGACGGUCGUCCCCGGUGGAGACUUGGCCAAGGUCGACCGCGCCGUCUGUGUUCUCUCCAACACUACCGCCAUCAGAUCAGCGUGGGAGAGGAUCGACCACAAAUUCGACCUGAUGUUUACCAAGCGCGCGUUCGUCCACUGGUACGUCGGCGAAGGCAUGGAGGAAGGAGAGUUCGCCGAGGCCCGGGAAGACCUGGCGGCCCUUGAAAUGGACUACGGCGAGGUCGAGGCGUCGGCCAGUUAUGACUACGAAGACGAGGAAGAGGGUUACUUCAACGAAUACUGAGGGGACCCCCUUCACCUCCCCUCCCCUCCUUCCCCCAAGGCUUGCCUCUGCCGCCCGACUUCGGAGAGUUCUCCGAAGCACGAGAGGAUCUGGCAGCACUGGAGAUGGAUUACAACGAAGUCGAACAGAAUCCACUCAGUGAAGCCGAAGAAGAAGAUUACUAGAACACACGCC
RNAcentral lists this unclassified non-coding RNA (1527 nucleotides) under Penaeus monodon (black tiger shrimp). RNAcentral describes it as "tubulin alpha-1 chain-like, transcript variant X1". Lineage: Eukaryota; Metazoa; Arthropoda; Malacostraca; Decapoda; Penaeidae. The record is from RNAcentral.